This 253-nucleotide ribosomal RNA is filed under the name uncultured bacterium. Its description in RNAcentral is "partial 16S ribosomal RNA". It matches the Rfam family "Bacterial small subunit ribosomal RNA", at positions 524 to 776 of the family's 1533-position model. The record is from RNAcentral.
UACAGAGGGGGCAAGCGUUGUUCGGAAUUACUGGGCGUAAAGGGCGCGUAGGCGGCCUGCUAAGUCGAACGUGAAAUCCCUGGGCUCAACCCAGGAACUGCGUCCGAUACUGGUUGGCUUGAAUCCGGGAGAGGGAUGUGGAAUUCCAGGUGUAGCGGUGAAAUGCGUAGAUAUCUGGAGGAACACCGGUGGCGAAGGCGGCAUCCUGGACCGGUAUUGACGCUGAGGCGCGAAAGCCAGGGGAGCAAACAGG